UAGGCCGGAAAUAAGACCCGAGUUCAUGCACACUUCAAUGUCCCAUGCUGAUCGUGCGGGGUAAAUACGUUUGAGAACAACUAGAGAAAGUUGUUCUCCCUCUUGGGUCUGCAAUACGUGAAUUGUGGUACACGAGUUGAGCCUGGCGCUUGAACCAUGUAAUGACUAAGUGUGAACCCUCAUUUCUCUCUGCUGACUUAACCAUAUAAAAUGUGCUGCUGUUGAAGGCUCUUUCGCUCUCUGUUCUGGCUGUAAAUCUGGAAAGAUUUGCGUGGAUCUUGACCCUGGGGGCAUCAGCCGCACGAGCUGCCAGAAUAGUAAAGACUGGCAGGACAAUACUGAUUUUGUACAAGAAAGUCUAUUCAAGCAGGUCACACUCCACAGUCCCCAG
RNAcentral lists this small RNA (391 nucleotides) under Histoplasma capsulatum var. duboisii H88. RNAcentral's name for it is "Histoplasma capsulatum H88 hypothetical RNA". Lineage: Eukaryota; Fungi; Ascomycota; Eurotiomycetes; Onygenales; Ajellomycetaceae. The record is from RNAcentral.